AUGGAUCUUUGUAUGUCUCAUGUACAAGAGAUUCAUGAGAUUAUGAAGAUUCAUUA
Molecule: microRNA precursor, 56 nt
Filed under: Strongyloides ratti
Lineage: Eukaryota; Metazoa; Nematoda; Chromadorea; Rhabditida; Strongyloididae
Description: microRNA str-mir-8384 precursor
Source: miRBase by way of RNAcentral